ACACACCAAUUGUCCCGUGUGCCGUGCCAUCAUUGUUAUCACAAUACCUGCCCCUGCAGAUUUCAAUCGAGCAGAACGUGUGACUAUUAUCUAAAAGUUUAAAUUCCUGAAGAGCAUACUUUUGUUUACUUUAUGAUUCUAUUAGGAAGAGUAUACUUUAUUUACUUAAUUAUGACAUCAACACGCGUCUUAGCUUGUAUUCAGACUUAAUAAAUUCUUCUCCAUGAGCUAAAUACGCGGUUAUCUUAUAAUGGAGAGCGAUGAGAUUCAAACUCAUGAUCUUUGCUGCUUUUAUAUCAUACUAAUGAAUGUGAGACUAUCUUAUCUUAGAAACUACGUGAUUAGUAUUUCUUAGUUAACUUCUAUAUUGCAGAAUGUAGUGGUGAGACUUGAAGAGGAAACUCAUUCAGGAACUUCAGAAAAAUGUCAUGGAAUUUAGGAUUGACGUUCGAAACAAAAGUUGAGAAAAGGGAACUAAGUACUUCAGCCUUCAGGUAUGAGUUUAAGUUCAAAGGAAGAUGUAUAUGUCGCGAACACUCCUGAAGGUGAGUUGAAAUAAGGUUCAUGGUGGAAGUUCAUAUGCAUAAAAAGCGGAAACAAAAAGCCAAAAUCUUUACAUAUAAGAUAGAGAGCAUAUACUAUAUCACAUUUUAGUCAAAUGUAAUACGAGGAAUACCUCUUGUAGCGUGUGAUAUAUAAUCCCAUGAAGGCAUGAACAUCUUUAUUCUGCAGUCUUCUGUUGUGUCUCAGACAUAAUCCGACUUAAUUAAGACUGUAUGGGCAAGUCAGCUUCUCCGUUAUGUUCUAGACUAAAGCUCCCGCUACCGCUAUGCAGUGGCGGAUCUACAUGGUUACAAGGGGUCAUCCGAACCACCUUCUUGAAAAAUUAUACUAUAUUUUUACAUGGUAAAUUCUUUUUUUUUUUUUUACGUAUAAAUAGUCGAGGCUAAACUCCUUCAACUAAUCUGUAUAUAUACUACUGAAAAUUCUGGAUCCGCC
This 999-nucleotide long non-coding RNA is filed under the name Capsicum annuum. RNAcentral describes it as "long non-coding RNA (CANN_LNC013179)". Lineage: Eukaryota; Viridiplantae; Streptophyta; Magnoliopsida; Solanales; Solanaceae. The record is from RNAcentral.